This 188-nucleotide non-coding RNA is filed under the name Paenibacillus senegalimassiliensis. RNAcentral's name for it is "Lysine riboswitch". It matches the Rfam family "Lysine riboswitch aptamer". Rfam says of the family: Riboswitches are metabolite binding domains within certain messenger RNAs that serve as precision sensors for their corresponding targets. Allosteric rearrangement of mRNA structure is mediated by ligand binding, and this results in modulation of gene expression. Lineage: Bacteria; Bacillati; Bacillota; Bacilli; Caryophanales; Paenibacillaceae. The record is from RNAcentral.
GAGGUAGAGGUCGCGAUUGUGAAGAGUACACCGGUGGAGGCGCUAAGAAGCCGCCUUGGAGCCCGGUGGAAAGGCACUGUCGCCGAAGCUUGGUUGCCCGCUUCUUAUGGCAUCCCGGCUGGGACUGUCUCCGAAAGGAACAGGACUGUCACGUCAUUCCCCUCACCCGGGAAUACGUGUUGAGCUAU